GAAAUGCGAUAAGUAAUGUGAAUUGCAGAAUUCAGUGAAUCAUCGAAUCUUCGAACGCACCUUGCGCUCCUUGGUAUUCCUUGGAGCAUGCCUGUUUGAGUAUCAUGAAAUCUUCAAAGUAAAUCUUUUGUUAACUCAAUUGGUUUCUACUUUGGUAUUGGAGGUCUUUGCAGCUUCACACCUGCUCCUCUUUGUUCAUUAGCUGGAUCUCAGUGUUAUGCUUGGUUCCACUCGGCGUGAUAAGUUAUCUAUCACUGAGGACACUGUAAAAGGUGGCCAAGGUAAAUGCAGAUGAACCGCUUCUAAUAGUCCAUUGACUUGGACAAUACUUUUAUGAUCUGAUCUCAAAUCAGGUAGGACUACCCGCUGAACUUAAGC
This 378-nucleotide unclassified non-coding RNA is filed under the name plant metagenome. RNAcentral describes it as "partial contains 5.8S ribosomal RNA, internal transcribed spacer 2, and large subunit ribosomal RNA". The stretch from base 1 to 105 matches the Rfam family "5.8S ribosomal RNA", at positions 50 to 154 of the family's 154-position model. The record is from RNAcentral.